CCUGGUGGCUCAGAUGGUAAAGCAUCUGCCUAAAAUGCGGGAGACCUGGGUUCAAUUCCUGGGUCAGGA
This 69-nucleotide transfer RNA is filed under the name Bos taurus (domestic cattle). It matches the Rfam family "tRNA". Rfam says of the family: Transfer RNA (tRNA) molecules are approximately 80 nucleotides in length. Their secondary structure includes four short double-helical elements and three loops (D, anti-codon, and T loops). Further hydrogen bonds mediate the characteristic L-shaped molecular structure. tRNAs have two regions of fundamental functional importance: the anti-codon, which is responsible for specific mRNA codon recognition, and the 3' end, to which the tRNAs corresponding amino acid is attached (by aminoacyl-tRNA synthetases). tRNAs cope with the degeneracy of the genetic code in two manners: having more than one tRNA (with a specific anti-codon) for a particular amino acid; and 'wobble' base-pairing, i.e. permitting non-standard base-pairing at the 3rd anti-codon position. RNAcentral also lists the same sequence under 5 other names. The record is from Rfam by way of RNAcentral. Lineage: Eukaryota; Metazoa; Chordata; Mammalia; Artiodactyla; Bovidae.